This 465-nucleotide ribosomal RNA is filed under the name uncultured bacterium. RNAcentral's name for it is "partial 16S ribosomal RNA". It matches the Rfam family "Bacterial small subunit ribosomal RNA", at positions 338 to 795 of the family's 1533-position model. The record is from RNAcentral.
CCUACGGGUGGCAGCAGUAGGGAAUCUUCCACAAUGGGCGCAAGCCUGAUGGAGCAACACCGCGUGAGUGAAGAAGGUUUUCGGCUCGUAAAGCCCUGUUGUUGGGGAAGAACGUGCGUGAGCGUAACUGUUCACGCAUUGACGGUAUCCAACCAGACAGUCACGCCUAACUACGUGCCCGCAGCUGCGGUGAUGCGGAGGUGGCAAGCGUUAUCCGGAUUGGUUGGGCGGAAAGGGAGCGCAGGCGGUUGCUUAGGUCUGAUGUGAAAGCCUUCGGCUUAACCGCAGGAUUGCAUUGGAAACCGGGCGACUCGAGUGCAGGAGAGGAAAGUGGAACGCCAGGUGUAGCGGUGGAAUGCGUAGAUAUAUGGAAGAACACCAGUGGCGAAGGCGGCUGGCUGGUCUGCAACUGACGCUGAGGCUCGAAAGCGUGGGUAGCGAACAGGAUUAGAUACCCCGGUAGUC